This 585-nucleotide ribosomal RNA is filed under the name bacterium fme09x22p166. RNAcentral describes it as "bacterial SSU rRNA". It matches the Rfam family "Bacterial small subunit ribosomal RNA", at positions 48 to 636 of the family's 1533-position model. The record is from RNAcentral.
GCUACACAUGCAGUCGAGCGGUAACAGAAAGUAGCUUGCUACUUUGCUGACGAGCGGCGGACGGGUGAGUAAUGCUUGGGAACAUGCCUUGAGGUGGGGGACAACAGUUGGAAACGACUGCUAAUACCGCAUAAUGUCUACGGACCAAAGGGGGCUUCGGCUCUCGCCUUUAGAUUGGCCCAAGUGGGAUUAGCUAGUUGGUGAGGUAAUGGCUCACCAAGGCAACGAUCCCUAGCUGGUUUGAGAGGAUGAUCAGCCACACUGGAACUGAGACACGGUCCAGACUCCUACGGGAGGCAGCAGUGGGGAAUAUUGCACAAUGGGCGCAAGCCUGAUGCAGCCAUGCCGCGUGUGUGAAGAAGGCCUUCGGGUUGUAAAGCACUUUCAGUCAGGAGGAAAGGUUAGUAGUUAAUACCUGCUAGCUGUGACGUUACUGACAGAAGAAGCACCGGCUAACUCCGUGCCAGCAGCCGCGGUAAUACGGAGGGUGCGAGCGUUAAUCGGAAUUACUGGGCGUAAAGCGUACGCAGGCGGUUUGUUAAGCGAGAUGUGAAAGCCCGGGCUCACUGGACUGCAUCGAACUGC